UACGUAGGGUGCGAGCGUUGUCCGGAAUUACUGGGCGUAAAGAGCUCGUAGGUGGUUUGUCGCGUUGUUCGUGAAAACUCACAGCUUAACUGUGGGCGUGCGGGCGAUACGGGCAGACUGGAGUACUGCAGGGGAGACUGGAAUUCCUGGUGUAGCGGUGGAAUGCGCAGAUAUCAGGAGGAACACCGGUGGCGAAGGCGGGUCUCUGGGCAGUAACUGACGCUGAGGCGCGAAAGCUAGGGGAGCAAACAGG
RNAcentral lists this ribosomal RNA (253 nucleotides) under uncultured bacterium. RNAcentral's name for it is "partial 16S ribosomal RNA". It matches the Rfam family "Bacterial small subunit ribosomal RNA", at positions 524 to 776 of the family's 1533-position model. The record is from RNAcentral.